This 837-nucleotide ribosomal RNA is filed under the name Arthrobacter sp. RNAcentral's name for it is "bacterial SSU rRNA". It matches the Rfam family "Bacterial small subunit ribosomal RNA", at positions 411 to 1259 of the family's 1533-position model. The record is from RNAcentral. Lineage: Bacteria; Bacillati; Actinomycetota; Actinomycetes; Micrococcales; Micrococcaceae.
ACGGCCUUCGGGUUGUAAACCUCUUUCAGUAGGGAAGAAGCGAAAGUGACGGUACCUGCAGAAGAAGCGCCGGCUAACUACGUGCCAGCAGCCGCGGUAAUACGUAAGGCGCAAGCGUUAUCCGGAAUUAUUGGGCGUAAAGAGCUCGUAAGCGGUUUGUCGCGUCUGCCGUGAAAGUCCGGGGUUCAACUCCGGAUCUGCGGGGGGUACGGGCAGACUAGAGUGAUGUAGGGGAGACUGGAAUUCCUGGUGUAGCGGUGAAAUGCGCAGAUAUCAGGAGGAACACCGAUGGCGAACGCAGGUCUCUGGGCAUUAACUGACGCUGAGGAGCGAAAGCAUGGGGAGCGAACAGGAUUAGAUACCCUGGUAGUCCAUGCCGUAAACGUUGGGCACUAGGUGUGGGGGACAUUCCACGUUUUCCGCGCCGUAGCUAACGCAUUAAGUGCCCCGCCUGGGGAGUACGGCCGCAAGGCUAAAACUCAAAGGAAUUGACGGGGGCCCGCACAAGCGGCGGAGCAUGCGGAUUAAUUCGAUGCAACGCGAAGAACCUUACCAAGGCUUGACAUGGACCGGAAAUGCCUGGAAACAGGUGCCCCGCUUGCGGUCGGUUCACAGGUGGUGCAUGGUUGUCGUCAGCUCGUGUCGUGAGAUGUUGGGUUAAGUCCCGCAACGAGCGCAACCCUCGUUCUAUGUUGCCAGCGCGUUAUGGCGGGGACUCAUAGGAGACUGCCGGGGUCAACUCGGAGGAAGGUGGGGACGACGUCAAAUCAUCAUGCCCCUUAUGUCUUGGGCUUCACGCAUGCUACAAUGGCCGGUACAAAGGGUUGCGAUACUGUG